CCGACCGGCGCACGGGUGAGUAACGCGUAUGCAACUUACCUAUCAGAGGGGGAUAACCCGGCGAAAGCCGGACUAAUACCGCAUGAAGCAGGGGCCCCGCAUGGGGAUAUUUGCUAAAGAUUCAUCGCUGAUAGAUAGGCAUGCGUUCCAUUAGGCAGUUGGCGGGGUAACGGCCCACCAAACCGACGAUGGAUAGGGGUUCUGAGAGGAAGGUCCCCCACAUUGGUACUGAGACACGGACCAA
RNAcentral lists this ribosomal RNA (244 nucleotides) under uncultured bacterium. Its description in RNAcentral is "partial 16S ribosomal RNA". It matches the Rfam family "Bacterial small subunit ribosomal RNA", at positions 91 to 334 of the family's 1533-position model. The record is from RNAcentral.